GGGGGAAAGAAGGUUAGAUGACCAUCCAAACUUUGGCGAUUCGUCAUGGAUAACUUGGGUGCUGUCUUUUUAAAGUUUGAAGUUGACCUUCAUAUAUGCUUUCGAAUUGUUUGAUACAAUGCCUCAAAGAAAAGUUGCACUUCUUAUUAUUUCUUUUUAAAAAUAUUACGUGGCCAAAACGAUGUUGUUGUGGGUCAUGUUACUUUAUAUAAAAAAAGAGAGGAUACGCUAGAACUUUAAAUCCAAUCCCACCAAACUCAAUUCUUAACGUCCAAACUCCUACCACCCCACUUUGGCGAUCAUUCUAACGACCACCUAAAUUUCAUCUUUCAAAUUCCAAAGUUUAGAUGUUUUAGGUUUGACUUUAGAGGGUUUCAUGUCCCCCCUAUUUUCUUUGAAUCUUUCUUGUUUUGGUUUCAAGAGGGUAAAGUUUAUGUCCUCUUUUCCUUCAUGCAUUUUUUUUUUCUUUUCUAUGUGGCAUAAAGUUUAGGGUAAAUUACACUUUAACCCAUCAGGUUUGAGUGCAAUUACAAUCUCAUACAAUAUCUUUAAAAUUUUCAAUAGCAUACAUUAUUUAUUAUUUUAUUACAAUUUCAUACAUUUGUUAAAAGUUCUAUCAAUUUUUCUGUAAUAUGCCUACGUGGCCGUCGUGGAUCCCACAAAUUUGUGCCACAUGAAUAAAAAAUAAAUAAUAAUUUUCAAAUAAAAUUUCUUGGGAAGUCUUCUUCCCCAAAAAUAAAAGUUAUGGGUCUCUUCUUCCUCGAACCCCCCUUCCCUCCCCCAUUUCAAUUGCCACACACUCCAUUUUGCCGCUCUUAGCUCAAUUGCCACACACUUUUCCUUCUCUCUCAUCCUACUUUUUCUCUCUCUAAAACUCAACCCCCUAUCUCUUUCUCUCUCUGCAUAGUCUGUGACUUCCAACGAUGGUGCUGCUGACGUCGAUUCUGCAGCUCCUUCACUGUUCUAGCAAUAGCCACUCCCCGUCGCCCAACCUUUUCGUAUCGGCUCUUCCUUGUCGAUUUCAUCAGCUUAUACAGUAAAUCGAAGCGGAUUUGCAAGAAAUUCAGAGCCGCCCCAAAGAGAAACAACAAGUCUUGAUCAAAUUUACCGUCGAAGCCUCCCUCUUCGCCUCUGAUGUCUGUCCUUCCCAUCUUAUGGGUUCUUGCAGAAGUUGUGGGUUUUUCUUGGGUAGUGUGGAUCUGGGUUCGUACAGUUUGGUGGGUUGCGAUGGAUUUAUGUGGUUUGAACUUUGAACCACUUUUCAAUAUUUGCUUCAAUUCUUUGAAAUUCAUAGAUUUCAAAGCAUUUUUGGGUGUUUUGUAGAUGGGUGGGUUGCAAUGAAUUUUUUGUUUUAGGGCUUAAUGCUAGCAAGGUGGAGACUUGGGAUGGUAGCAGCGCAAAUUGAAAGGGAGGAAGAAGAAAGAUGA
This is a long non-coding RNA of Malus domestica (apple), 1427 nucleotides long. RefSeq lists it as uncharacterized. NCBI's taxonomy places the organism in Eukaryota, Viridiplantae, Streptophyta, Magnoliopsida, Rosales, Rosaceae. The record is from RefSeq and is a predicted model, not a curated record.